AUGGACUGGCGGCGGGCAGGGAGCCCAACAUACGGCCGGCGACGCUCGCCAGCGGAGAUGUAUUCCGCCCCGGCGUCCCCGGCACACCCCCUGGGUCCAGCCACGUCGUCACCGGUACACCCUCUGGCGGCGCGGUCCAAGGCGCGCGCCGCGGCGGCGCUGGCGCAUGUCAUGUCGCGCCCAGGCGCGCGAGUCGCCGCCGCAGACUCCGACUCCGACGAGAACGGGUACGGAGACGACGACGGCAGCACCAACGGGCGUUACGGCGGCGGCCGGAGCCCCUUGCACGGGUACGUUGCAAAGAGCGCCGGCGGCGUCAAGGACAAGUUCUUCGGGAUGGCGUUGCCCAAGACACCACACGAGCUCAAGAUGAUGAUAACAUGGCCAUUGCCGGCGAGAGCUCGGACAAGACCACACAUGAGGCAAGAUAGGGGGAUAGCAGUCCGUACGGGGAGAGGAAGGGUCAUGGGGAGAAGAAAUUAUGUCUUGAAGAAUUCUUUCAUUGGUCCUUUCAAAAAAAAAAUCCAUCCGGCCGCUGCCGCUGUGCCAUAUGCGCACAAGGCCAGCAUGGCCCGAGCGUCUGGACCAGGCCUCAUCGCGCGUCCCCCAAUGGGCCUCCGCACCCGAGCUGACCUGGUCGCUCCGUCCUUUUGCUCGAGUCGCACGCCCACUGCGCUCGCGUGUCACGCCGCCGCCAGCCUUCCCGUCCGUCAACGCCAAAUUUCCAACCUGCCCUCUCUUUCCGACCCAAACGCGAGGCUCUGA
This 765-nucleotide ribosomal RNA is filed under the name Triticum aestivum (bread wheat). Its description in RNAcentral is "partial small subunit ribosomal RNA". Lineage: Eukaryota; Viridiplantae; Streptophyta; Magnoliopsida; Poales; Poaceae. The record is from RNAcentral.